This 268-nucleotide ribosomal RNA is filed under the name uncultured bacterium. RNAcentral describes it as "partial 16S ribosomal RNA". It matches the Rfam family "Bacterial small subunit ribosomal RNA", at positions 85 to 354 of the family's 1533-position model. The record is from RNAcentral.
CCGCCGGCGACCGGCGCACGGGUGAGUAACACGUAUCCAACCUGCCGAUGACUCGGGGAUAGCCUUUCGAAAGAAAGAUUAAUACCCGAUGGCAUAGUUCUUCCGCAUGGUAGAACUAUUAAAGAAUUUCGGUCAUCGAUGGGGAUGCGUUCCAUUAGCUUGUUGGCGGGGUAACGGCCCACCAAGGCAUCGAUGGAUAGGGGUUCUGAGAGGAAGGUCCCCCACAUUGGAACUGAGACACGGUCCAAACUCCUACGGGAGGCAGCAG